GGGGGGAGGAGUUGCCUCCAGACUUUUGGGCUGUGUUUAGGCUCAUUAUAGGAUAGGAGAGCAUCUCCACUCUGCUGAGUGUGUACCAGGAGAUACAGGAAGGACCUGAAGGCAGAGUCAAGCUCCAGAAGAAGGACCACCAGGAUCCAGAAAAGGACCAGCACCCCCGGUCUACACUGGAACCCAACCACCAUGCUAGGAGAAGCCUCAAUCGCAUGGAGAGGCCAUGUGGAGGAGAGCUGAGUGAGUGACCACUUGGACAGCCCAGCCCAGUCAAGCCUUGGAUGAUUGCAGCCCAGCCAAUGCCAGGAGGACCAGAAGACCCAGCCAGCUGAGCCCAGCCAGCCCACAGAAUCAUGAGCAAUAAUAAAAGAUGGUUGUCUUAAGCCACUCAGUUUUGGGAAGAUUUGUUAUACAGUAAUUGAAAAUGGACACCUCCAGAAUUAGCAAACAAAAAGAUGGCUGGAAAUAAAUCCAACCAACGCAGUCUGUCGAGUUAUAAGCAAGAAGGAGUCUGGGAUGACUCCUUCGUGUCGUGAGGAUGUGACAUGAGGUAAAUGUUGGCAAACGCUGGGAUGAGAGGAGCUACUGACACUGGCUGCAGUCCUGAUUAUGAUCCACAGGGUCACACUUGUACAAUCAGCAGGCCUGCUAUCUAUCCCCUCCUGCCUCCCUAUUUAUCUUCACACUCAGAUAACUGCCUUCCUGCAGGCUUUGCCCACUGCCGCCCUGCACCCAUCCUGACCCAUCCCAGCCUGGGUGAAACCACACAAGAGGGUGGAUCUGGGGUUAGCCACGCUGCCAUCAGCCCAGGAUCCUGUGUGCCGAGGAUGGAAUUUGAAGCCCAGCAUCCCUGCCACCUGCUUGGAAUGUAAUGAUUAUCCCCAUGUUGGGGCUUGACACAGACACAGAGAAGUUCCCUUAUAAUGCAUCCCCCCU
This 939-nucleotide long non-coding RNA is filed under the name Equus caballus (horse). Its description in RNAcentral is "lncRNA (ENSECAG00000045894.1)". The record is from RNAcentral. Lineage: Eukaryota; Metazoa; Chordata; Mammalia; Perissodactyla; Equidae.